Molecule: small RNA, 201 nt
Filed under: Wolffia arrhiza
Lineage: Eukaryota; Viridiplantae; Streptophyta; Magnoliopsida; Alismatales; Araceae
Description: putative TAS3
Source: RNAcentral
GGUGCUAUCCUAUCUGAGCUUAUCUCUUCUUUUUGUUUUUUUUUCUUAACUCUCUUAAUUCUUUUUCUUGACCCUGCAAGACUUUUUUAUCUUAUGAUUUUCCUUCUGGCCGUUCCCUACUCCGUUCUAACUUUUCAUCUUUAUCCUUCGCUUCUACCGACCUUCCCACCUCCCUUCCAUCUGUCUAUCCCUCCUGAGCUA